RNAcentral lists this ribosomal RNA (305 nucleotides) under uncultured bacterium. RNAcentral's name for it is "bacterial SSU rRNA". It matches the Rfam family "Bacterial small subunit ribosomal RNA", at positions 336 to 638 of the family's 1533-position model. The record is from RNAcentral.
CUCCUACGGGACGCAGCAGUGAGGAAUAUUGGUCAAUGGGCGGAAGCCUGAACCAGCCAAGUCGCGUGAGGGAAUAAGGCCCUACGGGUCGUAAGCCUCUUUUGCCGGGGAGCAAGGGCGGGGACGUGUCCCGGCCCGGAGAGUACCCGGAGAAAAAGCAUCGGCUAACUCCGUGCCAGCAGCCGCGGUAAUACGGAGGAUGCGAGCGUUAUCCGGAUUUAUUGGGUUUAAAGGGUGCGUAGGCGGAAGGUUAAGUCAGCGGUCAAAUGUCGGUGCUCAACACCGGCCUGCCGUUGAAACUGGUC